RNAcentral lists this ribosomal RNA (429 nucleotides) under uncultured bacterium. RNAcentral describes it as "bacterial SSU rRNA". It matches the Rfam family "Bacterial small subunit ribosomal RNA", at positions 355 to 775 of the family's 1533-position model. The record is from RNAcentral.
UCGAGAAUCAUUCACAAUGGGCGAAAGCCUGAUGGUGUGACGCCGCGUGGAGGAUGAAGGUCCUCGGAUUGUAAACUCCUGUCAUUGAUGAGCAAGAUGGCCCGGAUAAAACCCGGAGCCAUUUGAUAUUAGUCAAAGAGGAAGAGACGGCUAACUCUGUGCCAGCAGCCGCGGUAAUACAGAGGUCUCAAGCGUUGUUCGGAAUCACUGGGCGUAAAGGGUGCGUAGGUUGUUCCUUAAGUCGGGUGUGAAAGACCGGGGCUCAACCCCGGAACUGCAUUCGAUACUGGGGGACUGGAGGGUUCGAGGGGAGUCUGGAAUUCACGGUGUAGCAGUGAAAUGCGUGGAUAUCGUGAGGAACACUAGUGGCGAAGGCGGGACUCUGGAGAACACCUGACACUGAGGCACGAAGGCCAGGGGAGCGAACGG